AAAAGAAUUUUCAAAUUCCAAGUAUUUCUUUUUUUUUGGCACCGGUGUCUCCUCAGACAUUUCAAUGUCUGUUGGUGCCAAGAGGGAAAAGGGCUAUUAAGCUAUAUAGGGGGGUGGGUGUUGAGGGAGUCUGGGCAGUCCGUGGGAACCCCCUUUUUCGGUUCGGACUUGGGUAGCGAUCGAGGGAUGGUAUCGGAUAUCGACACGAGGAAUGACCGACCGUCCGGCCGCCGGGAUUUUCGCCGGAAAACUUUUUCGGCGACUUUUCCGGCGAUCGGUUUUGUUGCCUUUUUCCGAGUUUUCUCAGCAGUUCUCGGACAAAAACUGAUGAAUCGUCGAGGAGAAUGAGCUUGCCUUGCGUGGGCUGCCAUUAGUUCUUCGAGGCGUUAGGGUGGCGGCGGUAUAAAAGUGUCGGAGUUUUUUCAGCAGUUCUCGGACAAAAAUUGCUGAGUGGCCGAGAAGAAUGGGCGUGUCAUGCGUGGGCUGACAUGGAUUCUUCGAGGCCUAGGGGUGGCGGUAUAUAACUUGUUCGCAUGAUAUUACCGAGAUGUCCCCACGGGCAUCUUUUCACCUCGUCGCCGAAGAGAAUGGGCGUGUCAUGCAUGGGCUGACAUGGAUUCUCCUAGGCCGUUUGGGUGGCGGUAUAGUCGUCCUGCGCACGAAAUACCGAGAUGUCCCCAUGGGCAUCGAUUCCACCCGCCUAGGUUGGAUGGGCGUGCUUCGUUGGAAAGCAUGGAUCCGCCUAGGCUGUCCCGAGUGUGAGCGAGGUGUGAGUGUCGCCCAUGGGCAUCGACACCUUGCGGCUAGGAACUGGAACGAGAUGGGUGGCGAAGAUUUCGAGUAGCACUUCAUACUACCGUCGGUUUUUUAAACCUUCCGAGUUUUGUUGAUGUUAUUCCGAGAAUUAGCAAACCGUAACGAAGAUGUUCUUGGCAACCAUCUUUUGAUGGGAGUCCGGCUGUUCGAUAGCCGGCCAAGGGUGAUGAACGAAAUGUGAACCCUUGUCUCGCCUAGGUUGGAUGGGCGUGCUUCGUUGGAAAGCAUGGAUCCGCCUAGGCUGUCCCGAGUGUGAGCGAGGUGUGAGUGUCGCCCAUGGGCAUCGACACCUUGCGGCUAGGAACUGGAACGAGACGGGUAGCAAAGAUUUCGAGUAGCACUUCAUACUACCGUGGGUUUUUUAAACCUUCCGAGUUUUGUUGAUGUGUUUCCGAGAAUUAGCAAACCGUAACGAAGAUGUUCUUGGCAACCAUCUUUUGAUGGGAGUCCGGCUGUUCGAAAGCCGGCCAAGGGUGAUGAACGAAAUGUGAACCCUUGUCUCGCCUAGGUUGGAUGGGCGUGCUUCGUUGGAAAGCAUGGAUCCGCCUAGGCUGUCCCGAAGGUAUCUCGCGCUUGUACGGCUUUGGCUUGGAUUCGUCCGUCUUCUUUCUUCUUAGCCGAGUACUUCGGUAGAGUAGUUGGAACGAUUGAUGAUUUUGAGUUAAUUGAACGUUCGGCGUAUGAGUGGUGAUCGGAUAGCUAGUGUUCGUAGGCUCCAUGCUCGCGCAUCGAACUACCUACCACCUAUCCUUCUCAGUUAAUUCACGGGCGAUGUUACGCUCGAUGAUGAGUUCCGGGGCCUGUGUUUCGUACCUAAUUUGAAGGAAUUGUUGAGUUUGGUUUACACCUUUGCCCGCGGCUUCUCCUUCGUGGGGAAGUCGUGGGCACAAACAUCGGCGCUUGUUCACCUCUCGUCAUCGCAUUUGUUGCCUUGCUCGCAUUGGUGAAUGAGUUGCGGGUUGAAAUCUCGGAUGCGGAAAAGUUGUCGACGGUGACUCGAAGUGAUUCAGUCCCGCCAAAGCUCAUCCGUCCUUCGGGCAAAAGAUGACGGUCAAGACCUCGUCCUUUCUCUCUUUCCAUUGCGUUUGAGAGGAUGUGGCGGGGAAUUGCCGUGAUCGAUGAAUGCUACCUGGUUGAUCCUGCCAGUAGUCAUAUGCUUGUCUCAAAGAUUAAGCCAUGCAUGUGUAAGUAUGAACGAAUUCAGACUGUGAAACUGCGAAUGGCUCAUUA
This 2046-nucleotide small RNA is filed under the name Arabidopsis thaliana (thale cress). RNAcentral describes it as "ATSL077080". The stretch from base 1943 to 2046 matches the Rfam family "Eukaryotic small subunit ribosomal RNA", at positions 1 to 103 of the family's 1831-position model. Lineage: Eukaryota; Viridiplantae; Streptophyta; Magnoliopsida; Brassicales; Brassicaceae. The record is from RNAcentral.